RNAcentral lists this ribosomal RNA (115 nucleotides) under Hafnia alvei. The record is from RNAcentral. Lineage: Bacteria; Pseudomonadati; Pseudomonadota; Gammaproteobacteria; Enterobacterales; Hafniaceae.
UGGCGGCGAUAGCGCGGUGGUGCCACCUGACCCCAUGCCGAACUCAGAAGUGAAACGCCGUAGCGCCGAUGGUAGUGUGGGGUCUCCCCAUGCGAGAGUAGGGAACUGCCAGGCU